RNAcentral lists this ribosomal RNA (497 nucleotides) under uncultured bacterium. Its description in RNAcentral is "partial 16S ribosomal RNA". It matches the Rfam family "Bacterial small subunit ribosomal RNA", at positions 28 to 507 of the family's 1533-position model. The record is from RNAcentral.
GAUGAACGCUGGCGGCGUGCUUAAUACAUGCAAGUCGAGCGAACGGACGAGAAGCUUGUUUCUCUGUUGUUAGCGGCGGACGGGUGAGUAACACGUGGAUAAUCUACCUAUAAGACUGGGAUAACUUCGGGAAACCGUAGCUAAUACCGGAUAAUCUUUUGAACCGCAUGGUUCAAAAGUGAAUGACGGUCUUGCUGUCACUUAUAGAUGGUUACGCGCUGCAUUAGCUAGUUGGUAAGGUAACAGCUUACCAAGGCAACGAUGCAUAGCCGACCUGAGAGAGUGAUCGGCCACACUAGAACUGAGACACGGUCCAUGCUCCUACGAUAGGCAGCAGUAUGCAAUCGGCCGCAGUGGUCGAGAGCCUGACACAGCAACGCCACGUGUGUGAUGGAGAUCUUCGGAUCGUGAUACUCUGUUAUUAGGGAAAAACAUAUUUGUAAGUUACUGUACACAUCUUGACGGUACCUAAUCAGGAAGCCACGGCUAACUACGUG